This 756-nucleotide ribosomal RNA is filed under the name uncultured Nitrospira sp. Its description in RNAcentral is "bacterial SSU rRNA". It matches the Rfam family "Bacterial small subunit ribosomal RNA", at positions 94 to 841 of the family's 1533-position model. The record is from RNAcentral. Lineage: Bacteria; Pseudomonadati; Nitrospirota; Nitrospiria; Nitrospirales; Nitrospiraceae.
AGCGGCAGACGGGUGAGUAAUACGUAGACAACCUUCCUUUUAGAGGGGGAUAGCCUGCCGAAAGGCGGGGUAAUACCGCGUACGAUCGCAGACCGGCAUCGGUUUGCGAUGAAACAUCCGCAAGGAUGGCUAGAAGACGGGUCUACGGCCUAUCAGCUUGUUGGUGAGGUAAAAGCUCACCAAGGCUAAGACGGGUAUCCGGCCUGAAAGGGCGAACGGACACACUGACACUGGGACACGGGUCAGACACCUACGGGUGGCAGCAGUGAGGAAUCUUGGACAAUGGGGGAAACCCUGAUCCAGCGACGCCGCGUGAAGGAUGAAGGUCUUCGGAUUGUAAACUUCUUUUCUUUGGGAAUAAGAACCUUGUAGAAAUACAGGGAGUGAAGGUACCAGAGGAAUAAGCCACGGCUAACUUCGUGCCAGCAGCCGCGGUAAUACGAAGGUGGCAAGCGUUACUCGGAAUUACUAGGCGUAAAGGGCAGGUAGGCGGUUUGAUAAGUCUGUUGUGUCAGCUCUCAGCUUAACUGGGAGAGGUCAACGGAAACUAUCAGACUUGAGUGUGGGAGAGGGUACUGGAAUUCCUGGUGUAGCGGUGAAAUGCGCAGAGAUCAGGAGGAACACCUAUGGCGAAAGCAAGUACCUGGACCAAUACUGACGCUCAGCUGCGAAAGCUAGGGGAGCAAACAGGAUUAGAUACCCUGGUAGUCCUAGCUGUAAACGAUGCACAUUAGACGUGGGGGGUAUCGACCCCCU